Nothobranchius furzeri (turquoise killifish) is the source of this 1704-nucleotide non-coding RNA. The record is from RefSeq and is a predicted model, not a curated record. NCBI's taxonomy places the organism in Eukaryota, Metazoa, Chordata, Actinopteri, Cyprinodontiformes, Nothobranchiidae.
GUCAUGAUCUGUGCUGCAUAACCAUCUCUGCUGAGUGUUGUUUACAGGUGGGUGUGUCUGGAGAGCCCAGCUGUGCCAAAUCAGCUCAUCAGCGAUCAGGGGAUUUAAGGAGCAGCUGGACAUCUCACCAUUAGAUGAUACUCAGUCUUGGGUAGUUUCUAGCCCUCCUUUUGACCUUCCUAAAAACUAUUUUAGAAUUUGUUUGUCCACCUGUUCCUGCCCUUCUGGCAGUUAACCUGCUCUGCCCUCCUGAUUCCUCCAGGUUCCAGUCAUCUGUUCAUCUCCACUCUCUGCUAUAUCUCCGGAACCAUCUACCACAUUCCAGUCCUGCUGUUUACCCCUGAUCACCAGCUCUCCGUCACCCACCUAUCCACCUGCAGCUCCUCGUCUCCCCAUCCAGCCAGGUCUGACUAACCCCCCCACAAAAUACCGGAUCAUCCAGGAAACAACCCCACGGAUUCCUCCAGUCCUGCAGAAGCUUCAGCUACCUCUCCCAUUCAAAAUAAAUCAUUUAAACUUACCUUCUGUCUCUCGGUGGUGAUUCUUCAUGUCGUGGGUCAAGAAAUUACCCUCAAACAUGACAGGACUGGGCCAGACUGAGGUUGAAGAGGUGCUGCAGAAUCCCACAGAGCUGCUCUGCACAGGCUUUCAGUACCCUGGGGCUGACAUAAUCUGGACCUUCAGCCUUGUUCCUGUUCAGUCUCUCCAGCUGCCUCUUCACCUGACUUCUAGAGACAGAAAGGUGAGGGGGGGAGGUAAAUGGGGCAACAGCAUCUCCUGACUUGGUUGAAGACAGAUUUAUAGAACCAGAAGAGUCCAUGGCUGCGCUAGAGGACAAAAGAGCUGGCGUGUGACAGGAAAAUGUUGGAUCAGAGGAGGAUGGUAUGUCUGAUUGGCUGGGGACAGGCGAGGAGGAUGCUGGGUUUGUUCCUGAAUUGAACCUAUUUGUUUGUUACAAACGCUCCCGCCUCUCUUCUUGUUCUUAUUUGUGGUCUUAUGGCACUUGGCAAACAACAAUUUGGUGCAUUACCGCCACCAACUGGAUUGGAGUGGAAUGACUACCAAUCACUUCCUGUUUGUGCAUCACCAUCUGAAUAACCCUCUUAUGACCAUAAUUAAAACAGGGCCGCCUGUUUUUUCUUUUUUUUAUCUUAUGGCUGUAAAAUUGUAAUAAAAAGUGCAAAGUGUGUGUAACUCUUCUCCUUUUUUCAGAACAACCUCAGCUUUCAGUGUAUGGUUUGUAUUUGGAAUUUAUUUCUAUUAAAGCCUUUAAAAAAUCAGCAUAAAAGUGAAAAAAGCAAAAAACGUAUUUGAAUUUUUUACAUUUAUUACUGAGCAGGAACUUCAAAAUUACUGGGCAAACAAUUUGGAAUGAACACUUUAAACUUUGAACUGUAAUGCAUCUAUUCUUAAAAAAAGUGUGAGCCUUGGUAUCUUUUAUAGCAGUUUUUAAGACCAUUUAUUUUUGUAAACUUUUAGACGUUUUUCUUUGAUGUGGUAGGCCUUGAAGCAGUUUCUCUCCAGCUGCAGGCAGAGUCCCACUCUGCACACCUCACACUGCCAUGGGGUGCUUCUCUUGCACACCGUGCACUGCUGUACCAAAAACUUUUGUUUUGGCAAAAAUAAUUAUUUAUCAUAAAAAGAUAAAUAAUGCUGGAAUGAAGCUGAAUCUGUCAUGUUCUGUGUCCCUCUGUCCCCAGCCUC